GACGAACGCUGGCGGCGUGCUUAACACAUGCAAGUCGAACGGAAAGGCCCUGCUUUUGUGGGGUGCUCGAGUGGCGAACGGGUGAGUAACACGUGAGUAACCUGCCCUUGACUUUGGGAUAACUUCAGGAAACCGGGGCUAAUACCGGAUAGGAGCUCCUGCUGCAUGGUGGGGGUUGGAAAGUUUCGGCGGUUGGGGAUGGACUCGCGGCUUAUCAGCUUGUUGGUGGGGUAGUGGCUUACCAAGGCUUUGACGGGUAGCCGGCCUGAGAGGGUGACCGGCCACAUUGGGACUGAGAUACGGCCCAGACUCCUACGGGAGGCAGCAGUGGGGAAUAUUGCACAAUGGGCGGAAGCCUGAUGCAGCAACGCCGCGUGCGGGAUGACGGCCUUCGGGUUGUAAACCGCUUUCGCCUGUGACGAAGCGUGAGUGACGGUAAUGGGGAAAGAAGCACCGGCUAACUACGU
This 467-nucleotide ribosomal RNA is filed under the name uncultured bacterium. RNAcentral describes it as "partial 16S ribosomal RNA". It matches the Rfam family "Bacterial small subunit ribosomal RNA", at positions 28 to 506 of the family's 1533-position model. The record is from RNAcentral.